This 586-nucleotide ribosomal RNA is filed under the name uncultured Salinihabitans sp. RNAcentral's name for it is "bacterial SSU rRNA". It matches the Rfam family "Bacterial small subunit ribosomal RNA", at positions 299 to 916 of the family's 1533-position model. Lineage: Bacteria; Pseudomonadati; Pseudomonadota; Alphaproteobacteria; Rhodobacterales; Roseobacteraceae. The record is from RNAcentral.
GNGNACCANNNNNGCNGUCGACGAUUCCUACGGGAGGCAGCAGUGGGGAAUCUUAGACAAUGGGCGCAAGCCUGAUCUAGCCAUGCCGCGUGUGUGAUGAAGGCCUUAGGGUCGUAAAGCACUUUCGCCUGUGAAGAUAAUGACUGUAGCAGGUAAAGAAACCCCGGCUAACUCCGUGCCAGCAGCCGCGGUAAUACGGAGGGGGUUAGCGUUGUUCGGAAUUACUGGGCGUAAAGCGCACGUAGGCGGAUCAGAAAGUUGGGGGUGAAAUCCCGGGGCUCAACCCCGGAACUGCCUCCAAAACUCCUGGUCUUGAGUUCGAGAGAGGUGAGUGGAAUUCCGAGUGUAGAGGUGAAAUUCGUAGAUAUUCGGAGGAACACCAGUGGCGAAGGCGGCUCACUGGCUCGAUACUGACGCUGAGGUGCGAAAGUGUGGGGAGCAAACAGGAUUAGAUACCCUGGUAGUCCACACCGUAAACGAUGAAUGCCAGUCGUCGGGUUGCAUGCAAUUCGGUGACACACCUAACGGAUUAAGCAUUCCGCCUGGGGAGUACGGUCGCAAGAUUAAAACUCAAAGGAAUUGACGG